This 433-nucleotide ribosomal RNA is filed under the name uncultured bacterium. RNAcentral describes it as "partial 16S ribosomal RNA". It matches the Rfam family "Bacterial small subunit ribosomal RNA", at positions 29 to 507 of the family's 1533-position model. The record is from RNAcentral.
AGCGAACGCUGGCGGCAGGCCUAACACAUGCAAGUCGAACGAACUCUUCGGAUUUAGUGGCGGACGUGGGAGUAACAGGUGGGAACGUGCCUUUAGGUUCGGAAUAACUCACGGAAACUUGUGCUAAUACCGAAAGUGCCCUUCGGGGGAAAGAUUUCUCGCCGUGAGAGCGGCACUCGUGUGAUUGGCUCGUGGGUGAGGUUAAGGCUUACCAAGGUGACGAUCAGGAGCUGGUCUGCGAGGCUGAUCACACACAUUGGGACUGAGACACCGUCCAAACUCCUGCGGGAGGCAGCAGUGGGGAAUCUUGCGCAAUGGGCGCAAGCCUGACGCAGCCAUGCCGCGUGAAUGACGAAGGUCUUAGGAUUGUAACAUUCUUUCACCGGGGACGAUAAUGACGGUACCCGGUGAAGAAGCCCCGGCUAACUUCGUG